AGGCGGACCGCCGCCUCCUUCACUGGGAGGUCCGGGUAUGUGUGGGAUGAGUCAUGAAGUUAUUACACCGUCAGUUUCAUUGUCCUGGGCAGCAAUGUUUGUUGGAAGUACUUAUGUGUUUUUUUAAUGUAUUUUUUUCAGGACCAGUUGGCUCGUGGCCUGAUUCCUGUACCAGUGGUACUGCAGGAUAUGGAGACGGCAGCCCCCACCCGGAGGAGGCGGACCGCCGUGUCCUCCGGUGGGAGAUCCGGGCCAUAACAGCAUCCACAGGCGAGGUUAAUUCUACAGUGAUCAUUUCCACUGAGUUCAAGAAGGAGUGAAAGUAUUCACUGGGGAACCCGCUCUGCAAGAGAGAAGUCACAGAACAGAAGAAGGGCUUAGAAAGAUUGGAAAUAUACAAGAUAUUCAACCUGCACUUUAAUGGAAUCAGUUAAAUAGGUGAGCAUCAGGUGUUUGGGGUGCUUCACUCAUACUUGACUGAAUUUGAAUUGCUUGGAUCAUGAAGGUCAUAAGUCUGUGACUGGAUCAGUGAGUCACUUUGUCUGUCUGGUUACACCUCCCACAGAGUUCACAUCUACCUGCAAUACUCUGUCUUUUUAUGGUACAUGUUGUGUUGCUCAACUUUUUGCACUGAGCUUAUUUUUGCUUUUAGACUCCUUAAACUCUCUGUAGCUUCCUGCUACUUUACAGAGUUUUUUUUCAAAUGAAUAUUUUUAGACAUGAACAUUAGAGCUUGAUGCAGUCUACCUCUGUGGUUAUACGGUGAGCCUUGUUCCCAGCAGGCAACAGGUUAACAGAAAAUAUUGUGAAGUGACUGUUGUUGUUAAAUGGUGCUGCAUUAAUAAAACUGUACUGAACUGAAAUAAAAUCGUUGUAUAAUAAACUUCCCCAUGAACUUCUCCAGCAUCUGAUUUUAACACUGUGAUGAAGCACUCUACUCUUAACCCUAACCCAGCGCUCCAGCCCCUACCGGUCCAUGAGUCACUUGAAUUUUACAGUGUUUAUUUAUCAGAAAAAACAAGUUAAAUUAAAUAGCUGUCCAGUACCUGUGCAACAGAUGGUAGUGAUGGUUCAACAGAAACAUCCUAUAC
This is a long non-coding RNA of Oreochromis aureus, 1091 nucleotides long. Lineage: Eukaryota; Metazoa; Chordata; Actinopteri; Cichliformes; Cichlidae. The record is from Ensembl.